Molecule: ribosomal RNA, 253 nt
Filed under: uncultured bacterium
Lineage: Bacteria
Description: partial 16S ribosomal RNA
Rfam family: Bacterial small subunit ribosomal RNA
Source: RNAcentral
UACGGGGGGGGCAAGCGUUGUUCGGAAUUACUGGGCGUAAAGGGCUCGUAGGCGGCCAACUAAGUCGGAUGUGAAAUCCCCAGGCUUAACCUGGGAAUUGCAUCCGAUACUGGAUGGCUUGAAUCCGGGAGAGGGAUGCGGAAUUCCAGGUGUAGCGGUGAAAUGCGUAGAUAUCUGGAGGAAUACCGGUGGCGAAGGCGGCAUCCUGGACCGACAUUGACGCUGAACGGCGAAAGCUAGGGGAGCAAACGGG